GACGAACGCUGGCGGCGUGCUUAACACAUGCAAGUCGAACGGUGAAGGGGUCUGCUUUUGUGGGCCCUGGAUGAGUGGCGAACGGGUGAGUAACACGUGAGUAACCUGCCCCCUUCUUCUGGAUAACCGCAUGAAAGUGUGGCUAAUACGGGAUAUUCUGGGUCUGUCGCAUGAUGGGUCUGGGAAAGAUUGCGCCUUUGGGUGUUUUUGGUGGGGGAUGGGCUCGCGGCCUAUCAGCUUGUUGGUGGGGGGAUGGCCUACCAAGGCGGUGACGGGUAGCCGGCCUGAGAGGGUGGACGGUCACACUGGGACUGAGACACGGCCCAGACUCCUACGGGAGGCAGCAGUGGGGAAUAUUGCACAAUGGGCGCAAGCCUGAUGCAGCGACGCCGCGUGAGGGAUGGAGGCCUUCGGGUUGUAAACCUCUUUCGCCAGUGAAGCAGGCCUGCUCCUUGUGGGUGGGUUGACGGUAGCUGGAUAAGAAGCGCCGGCUAACUACGUG
This 502-nucleotide ribosomal RNA is filed under the name uncultured bacterium. RNAcentral's name for it is "partial 16S ribosomal RNA". It matches the Rfam family "Bacterial small subunit ribosomal RNA", at positions 28 to 507 of the family's 1533-position model. The record is from RNAcentral.